Molecule: ribosomal RNA, 504 nt
Filed under: uncultured bacterium
Lineage: Bacteria
Description: bacterial SSU rRNA
Rfam family: Bacterial small subunit ribosomal RNA
Source: RNAcentral
GGCUCAGGAUGAACGCUAGCGGCAGGCUUAACACAUGCAAGGUCGAGGGGCAUCGGGAGUAGCAAUACUUGCCGGCGACCGGCGCAAGGGUGCGUAACGCGUGAGCAACAUGCCCGUAUCAGGGGGAUAAUCCAUGGAAACGUGGUCUAAUACCCCAUAGUAAUUAUGUAAGGCAUCUUAUAUAAUUUAAAGCUUUGGUGGAUACGGAUUGGCUCGCGUGACAUUAGCUGGAUGGUAAGGUAACGGCUUACCAUGGCUACGAUGUCUAGGGGUUCUGAGAGGAAGGUCCCCCACACUGGAACUGAGACACGGUCCAGACUCCUACGGGAGGCAGCAGUGAGGAAUAUUGGACAAUGGAUGGAAAUCUGAUCCAGCCAUGCCGCGUGCCAGGAAGACGGCCCUAUGGGUUGUAAACUGCUUUUGUAUGGGAGCAAUAAGGGCUACGUGUAGUCCGAUGAGAGUACCAUACGAAUAAGCACCGGCUAACUCCGUGCCAGCAGCCGC